AGGUUAAGUGAAUAAGGGCGCACGGAGGAUGCCUUGGCACUAGGAGUCGAAGAAGGACGCGACAAACGGCGAAACGCCUCGGGGAGCUGUAAGUGAGCUUUGAUCCGGGGAUAUCCGAAUGGGGAAACCCGCUAGUGGUUAUACGCUAGCACCAUAUGGUGAAUACAUAGCCAUAUAGGAGACAGACCCAGGGAACUGAAACAUCUAAGUACCUGGAGGAAAAGAAAGAAAAAUCGAUUCCCGUAGUAGCGGCGAGCGAAGUGGGAAGAGCCCAAACCGGCACUAGCCGGGGUUGUAGGACCUUCAUAAUUGACAAAUCAUGAUAGCCGAGUGGUCUGGGAAGGCCAACCGGAGAGGGUGAGAGUCCCGUAGGUGAAAUUGUGAAAUGCAUGGAAGGAAUCCUGAGUACGGCGGGACACGUGGAAUCCCGUCGGAAUCAACGAGGACCAUCUCGUAAGGCUAAAUACUACCUAGUGACCGAUAGUGAACCAGUACCGUGAGGGAAAGGUGAAAAGAACCCCGGAAGGGGAGUGAAAGAGAACCUGAAACCGUGUGCCUACAAAUAGUCAGAGCCCGUUAAUGGGUGAUGGCGUGCCUUUUGUAGAAUGAACCGGCGAGUUACGAUAUCGUGCGAGGUUAAGCAGAAGAUGCGGAGCCGUAGCGAAAGCGAGUCUGAAUAGGGCGAAGAGUACGAUGUUGUAGACCCGAAACCGUGUGAGCUAGCCAUGAGCAGGCUGAAGGUCAGGUAACACUGACUGGAGGGCCGAACCAGGGCACGUUGAAAAGUGCUUGGAUGACUUGUGGCUAGGGGUGAAAUUCCAAUCGAACACGGAUAUAGCUGGUUCUCUCCGAAAUAGCUUUAGGGCUAGCCUCGAUGGCAAGUCUACUGGAGGUAGAGCACUGAAUGGGUGAUGGCCCCACCUCGGGGUACUGAUCUCAAUCAAACUCCGAAUGCCAGAUAGAUAUCAUCGGGAGUCAGACUGUGGGUGAUAAGGUCCAUGGUCAAAAGGGAAAGAGCCCAGACCGCCAGCUAAGGCCCCCAAGUGUCCGUUAAGUGGAAAAGGAUGUGGAGAUGCACAGACAACUAGGAGGUUGGCUUAGAAGCAGCCAUCCUUUAAAGAGUGCGUAAUAGCUCACUAGUCGAGUGACUCUGCGCCGAAAAUGUACCGGGGCUAAACGGACCGCCGAAGCUGCGGAUUGACACUUAGGUGUCAGUGGUAGGAGAGCGUUCUAACAGCGGAGAAGCAGUACCGGAAGGAGCUGUGGAGCGGUUAGAAGUGAGAAUGCCGGUGUGAGUAGCGAAAGAUAGGUGAGAAUCCUAUCCAUCGAAAGCCUAAGGUUUCCAGGGGAAGGCUCGUCCGCCCUGGGUAAGUCGGGACCUAAGGUGAGGCCGAAAGGCGUAGCCGAUGGACAACAGGUUGAUAUUCCUGUACCACUUAUUAAACUGAUGGAGUGACGGAGAAGGCUAAGUUGAGCGUGUUAAUGGAUUCACGUGUAAGCAGUGAGGUGGUCAUGUAGGCAAAUCCGCAUGGCAUAACAUUGAGCUGUGAUGCCGAAGCCGUAUGGCGAAGUCAACUGAUGUCACGCUUCCAAGAAAAGCUUCUAGGGUUAAUUUAGUAAGUGCCCGUACCGAUAACCGACACAGGUAGGCGAGGAGAGAAUCCUAAGAUGAGCGAGAGAACUCUUGUUAAGGAACUCGGCAAAAUGACCCCGUAACUUCGGGAGAAGGGGUGCUUGUGAAAGCAAGCCGCAGUGAAUAGGCCCAGGCGACUGUUUAUCAAAAACACAGGUCUCUGCUAAACCGCAAGGUGAUGUAUAGGGGCUGACGCCUGCCCGGUGCUGGAAGGUUAAGAGGAGAGGUUAGCGCAAGCGAAGCUUUGAAUUGAAGCCCCAGUAAACGGCGGCCGUAACUAUAACGGUCCUAAGGUAGCGAAAUUCCUUGUCGGGUAAGUUCCGACC
RNAcentral lists this ribosomal RNA (1959 nucleotides) under Acinetobacter baumannii. Its description in RNAcentral is "partial 23S ribosomal RNA". It matches the Rfam family "Bacterial large subunit ribosomal RNA", at positions 1 to 1988 of the family's 2925-position model. The record is from RNAcentral. Lineage: Bacteria; Pseudomonadati; Pseudomonadota; Gammaproteobacteria; Moraxellales; Moraxellaceae.